This 1442-nucleotide long non-coding RNA is filed under the name Macaca mulatta (Rhesus monkey). RNAcentral's name for it is "lncRNA (ENSMMUG00000058647.1)". The record is from RNAcentral. Lineage: Eukaryota; Metazoa; Chordata; Mammalia; Primates; Cercopithecidae.
AUAUUAGAAAAUCACACUGCUUAUUUGUAUAGAUAACAGUCCAUAUUUGUAGAACUUUAAAUCUUGUAUUAUAGGCUUUUUUUUUUCUUUUUUGAGACAGAGUCUUGCUCUGUCGCCAGGCUGGAGUGCGGUGGCGUGAUCUCUGCUCACUGCAACCUCCACGUCCAGGGUUCAAGCGAUUCUCCUGCCUCAGCCUCCCGAGCAGCUGGGACUGAAUACAGGUGAGCACCAUCACACCCGACUAAAUUUUGUAUUUUUAGUAGAGACGGGGUUUCACCAUGUUGGCCAGGAUGGUCUUGAUCUCUUGACCUCAUGGUCCACCCCCCUCAAUCUCCCAAAGUCCUGGGUUCACAGGCAGUAUUAUAGGCUUAAAAAAAACAAAUAAAAGAAAAACCCUUUCUGCCUUAAAGGUAGAAGCUACUGUUAGAAACUUUUGGAAAAGUGGAAGAUGAGUGGCCUUUGUAAUUAAACAUUACUAGGCUUGAAGCCCACAGCUAGCGGUGCGGCCUUGUGUGACAAUGCUUUUCCCUCCCCCCACCUCAUAUUCUUCAUUUAUUUCAGGAGAAUGCUUCUACUGAGAAAUUGUGGACACUCUAUAAAUGUUACCUUGGGAUAAUUCUAAACAUAUCACAUGAAUUGAUCACAAUGACGGAAUUUUUUUAAGUACUUGCGUGUAUGCGAGCAGCACUAGAAAUGCCAUAACAAUGGAAUCAUAUGUCCACAGUCCUACCUCUUUGAGCCAUGCAAUUUAAGAAGGUGGCAGAAAGGUAAUGAGAGGGUUGGUGCUUGUACAAGGGAUGGGAGAAGCAGGGCUUCGGAGGAUGAAAAGGAGUACCAAAGAGGAUGGCCAAGCCCUAUGGAGAUGACCUUUGCUGAUGUACAUUUUCCAGGGUACUGCUGUAGGAAGCCAAGCCAGUGUCUCAUUUCAGGGGGUUGAAUCAUCUAUGCUCUUCACACCUCAGUCAGAAUACAGCUGCUGCUUCUUUGCCACCCACGAUAAAAAGGAAAAUAUUUGUUUGAGCAAUCAGGGCGUUCAACUUCUUCCAGUGCCCUAGAAGUAACUGAAGCAAUGCAAUUAUUCUUGAAGAAGACAAAAGAAAGUGCUGCCAGACAUCUUAAAUUAAAGACGCAGUGCAAAACCUUACUGUUAUGUCUGAAUGCUGUACUCAAUGGCAAACUCACAUACUAAACAGAUUUAAAAACACUUAUGGUAGCAAAGUCGUUCACUUCUAUUCUUGAUCCAGCUGUUGGUGAAGUCUUGAAGAGACAGAAUUAUUCUCUUCAUAUUUUGACACUUGUAUUCAAAGUCUGUUUGAAUUAGCGGGUUUUGAAAAAUGACAUGUUUGCCCCUGUGGUUGAAGGAAAAAAAUCUAGGUCAAUGAUAACCUCACUUCAACCUUCUCACUUUGGAAUGGGUGCGUUCCCCCUCAAUGCUGAUGAGC